RNAcentral lists this long non-coding RNA (2742 nucleotides) under Oryza sativa (Asian cultivated rice). RNAcentral describes it as "long non-coding RNA (OSAT_LNC001872)". The record is from RNAcentral. Lineage: Eukaryota; Viridiplantae; Streptophyta; Magnoliopsida; Poales; Poaceae.
AAGCCCACGAGGCAGGGAUUUCCCAGCCCAAUCCGCGGGGAAGCCCUAGGGAAAGGACCCCGACCUCCGGAGAUCGGGAAUUUUUCCUCGCGCGAUCCGCCGCCGCUUCUCUCUCGCGCGGAGUCUCUUCUCUCGCGCGCAACCAAUGUUGGGCGCCGCCGCGCCUCCUCCUCCGGCGAGACGCGCCACCGCCGGGACUCCUCCGGCGAGACACCACCAGCACUGCCACCGUACUAGGGUAAGCCUUCUUCUCUUUCCCCUCCUCUCCUCCUCCUCCUAGGGUUUCUGCUCUUCUCCUCUAGGGUUUCCCCUCAGAUCUUUGGCUCAGUGGCUCAAUCCUCUCUUCUCAUCUUCCCCCAACAGCUUCUCUAGAACAGCCACCGUCAAUCUUGCUCCCACCUGAAGCAACACGACGCGCUCUCUCCAGUGGCAGUGCGCCAGUGCCCCAUCCCCCAGGUCAACCUCGAUAGCCACCAAGAGCGGUUCUCCAGUGGCCGUCACUAAGCAUCGCCAGCACCGUGACUCAGUUCGACUGGUUCGUGUCCUUUAUCCCAAAUCUGUGCUGUGAUUGUUUAUGGUUCAGUUUGGUUUGACUGGAAAUUUAAUUUUUGCAUCUUGUGAAUGUGGAACUAAUGAGAGAAACCACGGUUUGUGUGAAUGAUCUUUGCAAAGACUUGUUAAGUUCUUGUUUUUUGGUAGACAUGUUCAGGCUCAGAAAAGAGUUGAUCUAACGAACCGCAGGAGAAACCAAUGCUUUGCUUUCUUCUGGAGUGUGAAAUUUGCAUGCAAAAACUGAUUAGUAAUGUCUUUGCACAGGAAAUUUGGGACCAUCAGUAGAGCCCAGGUCUCAUCAUUGCAAGUUUUAACAGACAACAUAUUAUUCUUAUUUUGGGAAUCUAUCCAUCACUAGUACAUGUCCAAAAGAGGAUAGCAUUAGUCAGUGCUUAGAGCUUACAGUCAAGAUGGACAGUAGGUUAUCGUGCAUGUGUGAUGACAAUUUACAAUUGUGCAGGUUCAUAUGCUUUAACACAUAAGCUACGUGGUAAAUUAAACAACAUUGAUUAAGAAGGGAACACACGCGUUCACUGCUUCGACAGAUCAACUACAAGAAUUGUCAAGUAUGCCUCCUUGUACUUCCUCUCUUGCCAUAAUUUAAUUUAAAUUUAAUACGCAAUUUGCAAAGGGUUAUUGUACUUUAGCAUGCACUGGUAUGUAAACCUCAACUUCUUCACUCAAGAUUACUAUUUAGUUUUUUUUCUCUGCUCCGUUUGGUUUCCCUUUUCUCAUCUCUAGCUCUAGUUUUACCAUGAUUCUGUGAAAUGAAUAUUUUUAGAUCUAACAGAGAAUCUUUUUUUACUGGACAGAGAAUCAUUUUUGCUGGAGUUAUUAGGAACAUUUUAUGUUUAGCAAUAGUAUAUGUUCUGAUAUCUUCAUGAAAUUCAUUAUUAAACUGACAACAACCCUUCAAAGCUGAACACUAUAUCGCUCAUCCAUUAGACCAGCUAAUGCUACUACUAUUUUUUUUUCUGAGGAGCCAAAUUGCUGCAUAGGUAUGUCUGAUGGCCCUACAAUUUAACUUGAAAGCUCUGCUAUUUGUAUACUUGAUUCAAUUUCAGCAGAUGUAAAUUUUACAACUCUUUGUAUUCAGUUAAUCUGGUUUAAUUCUUCUCUAUUCUUGAUGGUCCUAGCUUAGCUUAAUUCUGAUUAAUUAUUGUAGUCUCUGUCAGGGAACCGUAUAAUUAGUGAUUAAUUUAGCAUGCAUGUGAGACUAAAUAAAUGGUAAAAAACAGAUUUUUGAUAGGACCUCGCUGGCCAAACAAAGUGACCUAGUAGUACUAAUUAAUUAAAACAACAACUACUACUACUAAUUAGUACUGCUAAGUGCUAACCAUAACUAUCUACACUAAUGACAGUGUUUGUGUGCUUGCUUGGGGGCAUAAAACUAAGAGACAGAGUUAGCUGGAGAUGGCCACGGUCCGUCUGAAGCAUUGCGCAUUAAUUUGCAUCUCAAACUGUAGUAGCAUGAGGCUUUAAUCUGUCUAAUCAGUUUGCACCUAAACAGCAGCUCAAUGGCACUGCAGUUCAGCUGAAAAUGUUGCAAAAGUUUACCUAAUGAGGACUCACAUAGGGGGUAUAUAUAUGAGAUGCACUUCUUUUCCUUGUCAUGUCCAUAAUGAUAAUUGUCCUCUUGCACUCUUCCUCUUGCCAUGAUUCAAUUUGAAUCUCUGGAUUGGCAUAAACAAGGAUUGUCCCACACAGAGCUAUACUCUAGUCUGCAUUUUCUAUACAAGAAGUACUUGAAUGAUUUUUUUUCUACCAACGCUACAGGUUGCACCCUUACUUGUGUUUUUAAUUCUUGGAUGUAGGCAACAGGCCUUGCCCUUGUAUAUUCAGCCUUGUUCUCAAUUUGGAGCAGCGAUGGAGAUAGUUGAUGCUUAUGAAUGCAGGAGGAAAACACAUCCAAGAUAUUUGUAAAUGAUAAUUGUAUGAUUAUAUCUUGUAUUUGCUGAAAGUGAUAUUUCUUGGAUGCUCAUAUAAUACUUGGCUAAAUACUGUAGAUGGUAGCUCAAUUUGAUCAUCUCAUGAAUUAAGUUGAUGCUUGUAUCUAUAAUGUUCUCUAUUUUACCUAGAAUUUAUUGCUCUAAUUGGAGUUCAUAUGAUUUUUCAGAUUUUUUUUCUUGCAUUUUUAACUUAAUUAUUCUAUUUUUGUGCUCAGUUAUGUUUAUUUAGACAUUUUUUUUA